GGAUUUAGGGGAAAGUUGGUUUUCAAAAGGAUAAGGCCAGCUUCCUGCAGGACCUGCAGCUGUUUCACGACCGGAAUGGGUAAGAAGGAAGCUUGGGUGUUUGGUGGCGUUUGUGAUUGAUUUUGUUUGUUUUUGUAGGACGCCGUUUAUGCGGUUGCCGAAGAUCGGAGGUCGGGAUGUGGAUUUGCACCGGUUGUAUUCCCGGGGUGGAACGCGGUGGGUAGACGAGAUUGAAGUUGAAGCAGAUUUGCAUCCGCUUUUUGAACAAGUACCAGUUAAUUUUAACGGUGAGGAGAAGGAUCCGACGGAAGAGGAAAACGACGAGAAGCGGCAUAAUCGGAGGUGGUAAGUGCGGAUGUUGCACUCGGUGCCGGCGGUUUAUGACCAUCAGCAGCAUCAUGUGCCGGAAGUGAUGGCGGGUCAGUGUGGGAUGUCCUGAGGGUCAGCAGUCCAUUUCUCGUCACGGGGCAUGUUUAAUGAGUAUUACCUAAACAUCCGGAAGAACAGUUUGCACCAGUUCUGGAAGGACCGUCUGUACAAAAGCCGCAGGUCCUGGAACUGUCGUAAUCGGAUUACUUCCAGAGGUUGGAGCGAGAUCCGACGAAUCUGAUCAAGAACAUCUACCUGGAAUACCGAAGAAGUCACCGCAACUCCCACCCGCAAACGCUCAUCUCGCGAUGGCGCAGCUUCUAUCGGAUGAACUUUGACGGCGAGUUUGCAACAUCUGGGAGGACGAAGUGAUCGGGAACUAUCUUUUCAGGCCGAGUUUCAGGCGCUUCACUUCCCAGCCGGAAAACGUCGACUUCCCUUCCCGAAUCAACAACCAAUGGCCAAUUCCUCCAAGCCUGUCCAGAUGAUGGCCGGCAACGAAACCACCCUGUUCUCUACAUCGUUGUCGAGCUCCAAAAUGAAGGGCGCGAUGUUGCUGCCCUACGAAACGUCCAUCCGUAGGGGUCUUCGGACGCGGAAGUUAGCUAACCAUAAGCAGAUGCGUUAAAUACAACAAUAAAACCAAAACAUACUGUUUUAAUAUUAAAAUAUUGAAAUAAAAUCCAUCACAUUUUUCGAAAAUCA
This is a long non-coding RNA of Culex quinquefasciatus (southern house mosquito), 1074 nucleotides long. RefSeq lists it as uncharacterized. The record is from RefSeq and is a predicted model, not a curated record. NCBI's taxonomy places the organism in Eukaryota, Metazoa, Arthropoda, Insecta, Diptera, Culicidae. The transcript has 2 exons.